CCUGGGUACCGGAGGGAGGGAGGUGGGCAGAGGAGGGGAGAUGGGCACCCCCAGUCUUUCCAUCCUCCUCAUUCGACUAGGGGCACCCGAAUCCCCUAUUCCUUAUUUCCCCUAUCACUCAGGCACUGGCAGGGUCCUUUGCCCACUCCUGUUGGCCGCUGCGGCUCCAAAGCGAGCUGGGCAGAUGUGCCUGAGACAGGUUUGACCAGGCAACUGAAAAGACAUCCCUAAGAGAAGACAAAGCAAAGGUAUGAAAGGAACACACAUCCCUGACUGACUAGGAGGAACAGAGCUGCCUGCUGUCUGGAACCGCUUCCUCCAAGACUAAAAAUCACAUUCUCCUCUCAUUGUGCUACACAGCUUGUAAGCAC
RNAcentral lists this long non-coding RNA (371 nucleotides) under Homo sapiens (human). RNAcentral describes it as "HSALNT0352223". The record is from RNAcentral. Lineage: Eukaryota; Metazoa; Chordata; Mammalia; Primates; Hominidae.